AAAAAGUUAGUUAAAUUAUAACAUUAAUAUGUCAUGUUAAAAUUAUUAGAAAUAUCUAGUACUUUUUG
This 68-nucleotide transfer RNA is filed under the name Myrmeleon immaculatus. Its description in RNAcentral is "tRNA-Asp". Lineage: Eukaryota; Metazoa; Arthropoda; Insecta; Neuroptera; Myrmeleontidae. The record is from RNAcentral.